This 459-nucleotide ribosomal RNA is filed under the name uncultured bacterium. Its description in RNAcentral is "partial 16S ribosomal RNA". It matches the Rfam family "Bacterial small subunit ribosomal RNA", at positions 338 to 795 of the family's 1533-position model. The record is from RNAcentral.
CCUACGGGUGGCUGCAGUGAGGAAUAUUGGUCAAUGGGCGCAAGACUGAACCAGCCAAGUAGCGUGAAGGAUGAAUGCCCAAUGGGUUGUAAACUUCUUUUAUAUGGGAAUAAAAUGUUCCACGUGUGGGAUUUUGUAUGUACCUUAUGAAUAAGGAUCGGCUAACUCCGUGCCAGCAGCCGCGGUAAUACGGAGGAUCCGAGCGUUAUCCGGAUUUAUUGGGUUUAAAGGGUGCGUAGGCGGAAGGUUAAGUCAGCGGGCAACUGUCGGGGCUCAACACCGGCCUGCCGUUGAAACUGGGCUUCUUGAGUGGGCGAGAAGUAUGCGGAAUGCGCGGUGUAGCGGUGAAAUGCAUAGAUAUCACGCAGAACUCCGAUUGCGAAGGCAGCAUACCGGCGCUCAACUGACGCUGAGGCACGAAAGCGUGGGGAUCGAACAGGAUUAGAUACCCUAGUAGUC